This 55-nucleotide transfer RNA is filed under the name Dipodomys ordii (Ord's kangaroo rat). It matches the Rfam family "tRNA", at positions 1 to 54 of the family's 71-position model. From Rfam's summary of the family: Transfer RNA (tRNA) molecules are approximately 80 nucleotides in length. Their secondary structure includes four short double-helical elements and three loops (D, anti-codon, and T loops). The record is from Rfam by way of RNAcentral. Lineage: Eukaryota; Metazoa; Chordata; Mammalia; Rodentia; Heteromyidae.
AGAAAUGUGGCUUAGUGGUAGAGUGCUUGCCUAGCAUGCAUGAAGCCCUGGGUUC